GAAUUAGUGGAGGUCGGGCGUACAUGACAUUUGAGGCAUAGUUGUCACUACUUCCGCAGUGGAGCUUCAACUGAAUGCAUCAAGAGUUCUUUAUCAGCUUGCUGCUUCCACUCUUCUUCCGGUUAUCACUAUGCUGCAGCAGAAAUUUGGUUCAAUCCUCCAGUUAAGUUCAUUAUCAGAUGUCCUUCUAGGCUGCCAAACAAUUGAUGGGUACUGCUUGAUUCUUUCCGGGCAUUAUGAAUCGCAUUUGUUUAGUCUCACGAAACUACUGCUUUCAUGGUUUCACCAUCACUAGAAAAGGUAGAAGUUGAA
Rosa chinensis is the source of this 312-nucleotide long non-coding RNA. RefSeq lists it as uncharacterized. The record is from RefSeq and is a predicted model, not a curated record. Lineage: Eukaryota; Viridiplantae; Streptophyta; Magnoliopsida; Rosales; Rosaceae. The transcript is spliced from 3 exons.